CUACGGGGGGCUGCAGUGGGGAAUAUUGCACCAUGGGCGCAAGCCUGAUGCAGCCAUGCCGCGUGUGUGAAGAAGGCCUUCGGGUUGUAAAGCACUUUCAGCGGGGAGGAAGGCGGUGAGGUUAAUAACCUCAUCGAUUGACGUUACCCGCAGAAGAAGCACCGGCUAACUCCGUGCCAGCAGCCGCGGUAAUACGGAGGGUGCAAGCGUUAAUCGGAAUUACUGGGCGUAAAGCGCACGCAGGCGGUCUGUCAAGUCGGAUGUGAAAUCCCCGGGCUCAACCUGGGAACUGCAUUCGAAACUGGCAGGCUAGAGUCUUGUAGAGGGGGGUAGAAUUCCAGGUGUAGCGGUGAAAUGCGUAGAGAUCUGGAGGAAUACCGGUGGCGAAGGCGGCCCCCUGGACAAAGACUGACGCUCAGGUGCGAAAGCGUGGGGAGCAAACAGGAUUAGAUACCCGAGUAGUC
Molecule: ribosomal RNA, 464 nt
Filed under: uncultured Klebsiella sp.
Lineage: Bacteria; Pseudomonadati; Pseudomonadota; Gammaproteobacteria; Enterobacterales; Enterobacteriaceae
Description: bacterial SSU rRNA
Rfam family: Bacterial small subunit ribosomal RNA
Source: RNAcentral